RNAcentral lists this ribosomal RNA (253 nucleotides) under uncultured bacterium. Its description in RNAcentral is "partial 16S ribosomal RNA". It matches the Rfam family "Bacterial small subunit ribosomal RNA", at positions 524 to 776 of the family's 1533-position model. The record is from RNAcentral.
UACGGGGGGGGCAAGCGUUGUUCGGAAUUACUGGGCGUAAAGGGUUUGUAGGUGGCUUGCUAAGUCAGACGUGAAAUCCCUCAGCUUAACUGAGGAACUGCGUCUGAGACUGGCAAGCUUGAGUGCAGGAGAGGAACGCGGAAUUCCAGGUGUAGCGGUGAAAUGCGUAGAUAUCUGGAGGAACACCGGUGGCGAAGGCGGCGUUCUGGACUGCAACUGACACUGAGGAACGAAAGCCAGGGGAGCAAACGGG